RNAcentral lists this ribosomal RNA (252 nucleotides) under uncultured bacterium. RNAcentral describes it as "partial 16S ribosomal RNA". It matches the Rfam family "Bacterial small subunit ribosomal RNA", at positions 524 to 776 of the family's 1533-position model. The record is from RNAcentral.
UACGUAUGUCGCAAGCGUUAUCCGGAUUUAUUGGGCGUAAAGCGCGUCUAGGCGGUUUAGUAAGUCUGAUGUGAAAAUGCGGGGCUCAACCCCGAAUUGCGUUGGAAACUGCCAAACUAGAGUACUGGAGAGGUAGGCGGAACUACAAGUGUAGAGGUGAAAUGCGUAGAUAUUUGUAGGAAUGCCGAUGGCGAAGGCAGCCUACUGGACAGAUACUGACGCUAAAGUACGAAAGCGUGGGUAGCAAACGGG